This 53-nucleotide transfer RNA is filed under the name Passalurus ambiguus. RNAcentral's name for it is "tRNA-Gln". Lineage: Eukaryota; Metazoa; Nematoda; Chromadorea; Rhabditida; Oxyuridae. The record is from RNAcentral.
AGUAUUUUAGUAUAAGUAAUAUAACCAUUUUUGGGGUGGGAGAUUUAAUACUG